This 377-nucleotide long non-coding RNA is filed under the name Sus scrofa (pig). Its description in RNAcentral is "lncRNA (ENSSSCG00035016598.1)". Lineage: Eukaryota; Metazoa; Chordata; Mammalia; Artiodactyla; Suidae. The record is from RNAcentral.
CGGAGAGUGUGGUGGUCGGCGAGGAGAAGCCGCGGCCGGGACUUCACAGGAAAUUCAUCAUUGUGCUACAUUAUCCUACGCGUCAUCCUCUGAGUAUCCAUCACACAAGGUGUCCUGGAUGAAGGUGUCCAGGGCAGGACAGGAUCAGAGAAGGAAGGAGGAGGGAGGUCCCACAAGCUGGGUUUUGAAGCAGAGUUUCUGUUAGAAAGUUCAAGUGGGGCCAGGCAUUCCAGGUAUUGGAAUAAAGAUAACCGUAGCUUCCUGUGAACAUGUCAGUUCUGAUAUCACAGAGUGUAAUAAAUUAUGUCGAAGAAGAAAACAUUCCUGCUUUGAAAGCACUUCUUGAAAAAUGCAAAGAUGUGGAUGAGAGAAAUGAG